This 218-nucleotide unclassified non-coding RNA is filed under the name Hevea brasiliensis (rubber tree). Lineage: Eukaryota; Viridiplantae; Streptophyta; Magnoliopsida; Malpighiales; Euphorbiaceae. The record is from RNAcentral.
AGAGGCCACAAUCUUAAUGUUCUUCCUCAAGUAUCAGCUACUUCAUUUAGAGGUCCUACAAGCUAUGCCUCACAGAGCAAUGUGAAUCCAUCUCAGGAUGGUAUGGAUAUUGGAGUUAGGCAUCUGGGAUCUAUCCAGCCAACUGGCCUUAGGAUAUACAGACCUCACCAUGAGGGAGUUAUAUCUGAGACAGCUAUAAGACACCGCAAUGUUCCUCA